AUACGGAGGGUGCGAGCGUUAAUCGGAAUUACUGGGCGUGAAGUGUACGUAGGCGGUUGGUUAAGUUAGAUGUGAAAGCCCCGGGCUUAACCUGGGAACUGCAUUUAAAACUGGCGAACUAGAGUUGAGUAGAGGGGAGUGGAAUUUCAGGUGUAGCGGUGAAAUGCGUAGAGAUCUGAAGGAACACCAGUGGCGAAGGCGACUCCCUGGACUCGAACUGACGCUGAGGUACGAAAGCGUGGGUAGCAAACGGGAUUAGAAACCCGGGUAGUCC
RNAcentral lists this ribosomal RNA (274 nucleotides) under uncultured bacterium. RNAcentral's name for it is "partial 16S ribosomal RNA". It matches the Rfam family "Bacterial small subunit ribosomal RNA", at positions 523 to 796 of the family's 1533-position model. The record is from RNAcentral.